Molecule: ribosomal RNA, 497 nt
Filed under: uncultured bacterium
Lineage: Bacteria
Description: partial 16S ribosomal RNA
Rfam family: Bacterial small subunit ribosomal RNA
Source: RNAcentral
GAUGAACGCUGGCGGCGUGCCUAAUACAUGCAAGUCGAGCGAACAGACGAGGAGCUUGCUCCUCUGACGUUAGCGGCGGACGGGUGAGUAACACGUGGAUAACCUACCUAUAAGACUGGGAUAACUUCGGGAAACCGGAGCUAAUACCGGAUAACAUGUUGAACCGCAUGGUUCAACAGUGAAAGACGGUUUUGCUGUCGCUUAUAGAUGGAUCCGCGCCGCAUUAGCUAGUUGGUAAGGUAACGGCUUACCAAGGCAACGAUGCGUAGCCGACCUGAGAGGGUGAUCGGCCACACUGGAACUGAGACACGGUCCAGACUCCUACGGGAGGCAGCAGUAGGGAAUCUUCCGCAAUGGGCGAAAGCCUGACGGAGCAACGCCGCGUGAGUGAAGAAGGUCUUCGGAUCGUAAAACUCUGUUAUUAGGGAAGAACAAAUGUGUAAGUAACUAUGCACGUCUUGACGGUACCUAAUCAGAAAGCCACGGCUAACUACGUG